This 627-nucleotide ribosomal RNA is filed under the name Triticum aestivum (bread wheat). RNAcentral describes it as "partial small subunit ribosomal RNA". Lineage: Eukaryota; Viridiplantae; Streptophyta; Magnoliopsida; Poales; Poaceae. The record is from RNAcentral.
AUGCCGCAGCGUGGCCCUGGCGGCGGCGGUGGACUCCAUCAAGGCCUCUGGAUUCGGGCUACGGGUCGCGGCCUCGCUGCGGAGGCUCGGCUGGCCCGACGACGCCGUCGUGUUCACACUUCCACAUUGCCGGUGCUCGAGCUGCGCGGAGCAAUUCCUGCCGGGUAUUGGAUGCGUCUUCACCCCGUCCGGCUGACCGUCCUGGCAGUUUUGGGGAACAUGGUGCCUGUGCCAUUCAUCAUCCUCUACCUGAAGAAACUCGCAACCUUCCUCUCGCAGAGAAGUGCUUGGGCGACCCGGAUAAUGGACCUCCUCUUCGAGCGGGCGCGACGGAAGGCUGCGCCAGUCGAGGAGUUCCAGUGGCUCGGGCUGAUGCUGUUUGCCGCUGUCCCGUUCCCAGGCACCGGAGCAUGGACCGGCACCAUCAUCGCGUCCGUCCUUGGCAUGCCGUUCUGGUCAGGUUUGUCCGCGAAUUUCAUGGGAGUGCUUCUUGCGGGGUUGCUGGUAAACUUGCUCAUGAACCUUGGUCUGAAGUACGCCAUUGGCACCGGGGUACUCCUCUUCAUUGUGUUAACUGCCAUGUGGGGUGCCCUUCGUGGUCUCAAGAAAUCGCUGAAUACGAAAUGA